GAUGAACGCUGGCGGCGUGCUUAACACAUGCAAGUCGAACGGAAAGGCCUCUGCUUGCAGGGGUACUCGAGUGGCGAACGGGUGAGUAACACGUGGGUGAUCUGCCCUGCACUUCGGGAUAAGCCUGGGAAACUGGGUCUAAUACCGGAUAGGACAAUGGUUUGGAUGCUGUUGUGGAAAGUUUUUCGGUGUGGGAUGAGCUCGCGGCCUAUCAGCUUGUUGGUGGGGUAAUGGCCUACCAAGGCGUCGACGGGUAGCCGGCCUGAGAGGGUGUACGGCCACAUUGGGACUGAGAUACGGCCCAGACUCCUACGGGAGGCAGCAAUGGGGAAUAUUGCACAAUGGGCGCGAGCCUGAUGCAGCGACGCCGCGUGGGGGAUGACGGCCUUCGGGUUGUAAACUCCUUUCGCUAGGGACGAAGCGUUUUUGUGACGGUACCUGGAGAAGAAGCACCGGCUAACUACGUG
Molecule: ribosomal RNA, 467 nt
Filed under: uncultured bacterium
Lineage: Bacteria
Description: partial 16S ribosomal RNA
Rfam family: Bacterial small subunit ribosomal RNA
Source: RNAcentral